AGAGUUUGAUCAUGGCUCAGGACGAACGCUGGCGGCGUGCCUAAUACAUGCAAGUAGAACGCUGAAGAGAGGAGCUUGCUCUUCUUGGAUGAGUUGCGAACGGGUGAGUAACGCGUAGGUAACCUGCCUUGUAGCGGGGGAUAACUAUUGGAAACGAUAGCUAAUACCGCAUAACAAUGGAUGACCCAUGUCAUUUAUUUGAAAGGGGCAAAUGCUCCACUACAAGAUGGACCUGCGUUGUAUUAGCUAGUAGAUGAGGUAACGGCUCACCUAGGCGACGAUACAUAGCCGACCUGAGAGGGUGAUCGGCCACACUGGGACUGAGACACGGCCCAGACUCCUACGGGAGGCAGCAGUAGGGAAUCUUCGGCAAUGGGGGCAACCCUGACCGAGCAACGCCGCGUGAGUGAAGAAGGUUUUCGGAUCGUAAAGCUCUGUUGUAAGUCAAGAACGAGUGUGAGAGUGGAAAGUUCACACUGUGACGGUAGCUUACCAGAAAGGGACGGCUAACUACGUGCCAGCAGCCGCGGUAAUACGUAGGUCCCGAGCGUUGUCCGGAUUUAUUGGGCGUAAAGCGAGCGCAGGCGGUUUGAUAAGUCUGAAGUUAAAGGCUGUGGCUCAACCAUAGUUCGCUUUGGAAACUGUCAAACUUGAGUGCAGAAGGGGAGAGUGGAAUUCCAUGUGUAGCGGUGAAAUGCGUAGAUAUAUGGAGGAACACCGGUGGCGAAAGCGGCUCUCUGGUCUGUAACUGACGCUGAGGCUCGAAAGCGUGGGGAGCGAACAGGAUUAGAUACCCUGGUAGUCCACGCCGUAAACGAUGAGUGCUAGGUGUUGGAUCCUUUCCGGGAUUCAGUGCCGCAGCUAACGCAUUAAGCACUCCGCCUGGGGAGUACGACCGCAAGGUUGAAACUCAAAGGAAUUGACGGGGGCCCGCACAAGCGGUGGAGCAUGUGGUUUAAUUCGAAGCAACGCGAAGAACCUUACCAGGUCUUGACAUCCCGAUGCUAUUUCUAGAGAUAGAAAGUUACUUCGGUACAUCGGUGACAGGUGGUGCAUGGUUGUCGUCAGCUCGUGUCGUGAGAUGUUGGGUUAAGUCCCGCAACGAGCGCAGCCCCUAUUGUUAGUUGCCAUCAUUCAGUUGGGCACUCUAGCGAGACUGCCGGUAAUAAACCGGAGGAAGGUGGGGAUGACGUCAAAUCAUCAUGCCCCUUAUGACCUGGGCUACACACGUGCUACAAUGGUUGGUACAACGAGUUGCGAGUCGGUGACGGCAAGCUAAUCUCUUAAAGCCAAUCUCAGUUCGGAUUGUAGGCUGCAACUCGCCUACAUGAAGUCGGAAUCGCUAGUGAUCGCGGAUCAGCACGCCGCGGUGAAUACGUUCCCGGGCCUUGUACACACCGCCCGUCACACCACGAGAGUUUGUAACACCCGAAGUCGGUGAGGUAACCUUUUGGAGCCAGCCGCCUAAGGUGGGAUAGGUGAUUGGGGUGAAGUCGUAACAAGGUA
Molecule: ribosomal RNA, 1506 nt
Filed under: metagenome
Description: bacterial SSU rRNA
Rfam family: Bacterial small subunit ribosomal RNA
Source: RNAcentral